UAGGGAAUCUUCGGCAAUGGACGAAAGUCUGACCGAGCAACACCGCGUGAGUGAAGAAGGUUUUCGGAUCGUAAAACUCUGUUGGUAGAGAAGAACGUUGGUGAGAGUGGAAAGCUCAUCAAGUGACGGUAACUACCCAGAAAGGGACGGCUAACUACGUGCCAGCAGCCGCGGUAAUACGUAGGUCCCGAGCGUUGUCCGGAUUUAUUGGGCGUAAAGCGAGCGCAGGUGGUUUAUUAAGUCUGGUGUAAAAGGCAGUGGCUCAACCAUUGUAUGCAUUGGAAACUGGUAGACUUGAGUGCAGGAGAGGAGAGUGGAAUUCCACGUGUAGCGGUGAAAUG
This 341-nucleotide ribosomal RNA is filed under the name uncultured bacterium. RNAcentral's name for it is "partial 16S ribosomal RNA". It matches the Rfam family "Bacterial small subunit ribosomal RNA", at positions 355 to 688 of the family's 1533-position model. The record is from RNAcentral.